This 761-nucleotide long non-coding RNA is filed under the name Oryctolagus cuniculus (rabbit). RNAcentral's name for it is "lncRNA (ENSOCUG00000037718.1)". Lineage: Eukaryota; Metazoa; Chordata; Mammalia; Lagomorpha; Leporidae. The record is from RNAcentral.
GCGACGUGUUGGCCUCUCGCGCGCGCCUUAUUUAUUUAUCCGGAUUAACCGGGAUGCCGGGGGCGGGGGGUGGGGAGCUGGGGGCGGCCGCCGGCGCCCCGGGGUGGGGGGCCGGGAGCCGGGGUGCGGGCUCGCGCGCGGGACGCGGGGCGGAGCGGGGUCGGGUGGGGGGCGACACCCGGCGGCGAGCUGGCGGGGGGCGCCCCAGGCCCGGCGCUGGGCGCGCCGCAGCCGGCGCCGGCGCUGGCCGGGCUCCGGGAAGCUAGUCCGGAGCGGAGGAAUCUAUUGUUAUUUAUUGUGUGGCGGCCGCACGCUGUACUCGCGGCGGCCGCACGCUGUACUCGGCCCUCGCCCGGGAGUGCGUGUGUGUGUGUGUGCGCGCGGUGAGUGUGUGCGCGGGGCGCGCGCGCGGGCGGGAGUGGGCGCGCGCGGGGAAAAGGCCCGAAAACACCUUAGUUUGCACCGAGAGACCAUUUGCAGCGGAACCCUGAAAAGUUUGCAAGAGGAAAGCGAGCGCGCGGCGAGCGAGCGGGCAAGGGGCAGCGGCAGCGGCGCCGGGGACCAUGGUGCUGCCGGCGCCUCCUCCGCGGGCGUGAAGGCGGCGCCCCCUCUGCCUCCCCGGACUCGGCGGUGUCCCAGGAGCUUUGGCUGCCAAUUCCAGUUUCCCAGCGCCGCGUUUCGGCAGUGGCGAGGGCUUCGGUCCCUUCCCUGAUCUGCUGUCAACCAUGAGUGGACGGUUGUGAUGCCUGCUAGCUGGAAGG